GGGUAAUCUUCCUGAGCACAGACUUGGCCGAACUUAUUUUUCCUCAAGGCCGCAUUUUCAAGGUAGCUGAUGAAAUCGAGGUCCAAGAUAAAAAAAAAUUGUCCGUUGGUGUGCCUUUUGAGAUUGAAUGAUCCUGAUUCGAAACGCCCCAGAUGCGGCCGUCUGAUCAGCUUGAAGGGUCUGAUUGAUCUGAUUUUCUUAUUUUUUUUCUCUCUCUUCUUGGUUUGCAUCAGAAAAUGGGCGUUCGUAUUGAGAUAUUGAAAGGAUAUUGCAUAACAUGGUGAGUGUUAUGGCGGGUUUUCUUGAAGCUGAUGAUAUUUUCAAUGUUGUUUGUGUUCUUCGGUGUAGCUGCGCAGAGAGAGAAUAGCAGAAAGGAUCAGAGCUCUGCAGGAAUUGGUCCCAAACACUAACAAGGUUACUCUGCUAUGCUGAUUAUUUUUUGCAUGUUUUUCUUUUUUUAUUAUUGCAGGAAGAACAGAGCAUGCAAUUAAUUGAAUAAUCUCUUUAAGUGAAUAAUGCAACCUUUCAGGGGACAUUAACUAAUAAAAUUGUGAAAUAUGAUCUCCAUGUAUAAAAUUUUUCUGCACGACUGCUGGAAAAGAAUAUAACAGCUUUCAUGGAUUCUGUGACAGAUGAACCGUGAAUGAUAUUUUAUGAAAAUCAGUGGGUGUUCUGAGAAUAGUUUUGACGGGGAUGAUUAGGCGAACGAAACCAUCGUCAAAAAGAGUAAUAGAAACCAUUUUCAAAUCGUGAAUGAAUUGAAGAUUUUGGGAACUCUUUUCUUCCAGAUAUCUAAUUUGCCAAUCAUUUGUUUAAUUAUUCUGAAAAUUUUCAUCUUGAUGAUCUGUGGAGUCCUCUAGUCAUAAUGAUUUUUAUCUGUCGGCAAGGAUUGCUGAUGAAGAUUCAGCACUACCUGGUAUAACACAGAAGGAUAAGUCAUCCACAAAUCUGACAGAAAAAUACAUGUUCUUCAAGAAAAUCCAUUAUCAACUUCUUUCAUGCAUCGAAUAGUCACAUCAGGCUUGGUUUUUUACUUUGGGAAGUGGUACUAUGUCUUUCAACCUAUAUGGUUUCCAUUUUAGCCAAUCCGUAGUUGACAGUCAGGGCUGCGUUAUUAACUUUUGGGCUGAUAUGAUCAACCCUGCUAAACAUUUUUUUCCCUAGAUAAUAAUCACUUGUUCUAUGUCAAAUCAGGUUUGACCAUGCUCUGCCAUUCUGAGAAAUGUCUCUUUUAGGUCAUUCCAUGGUAAACUUUCCAAGCAAUUGAAGCAAACUAUGAAUCAAAGAAAAAUCCAGGAUGUGACUCUGGAUAUUCAUUGAAUUAUGUUUCAGGAUGUGACUAGAAUGUUCCCAAUAAAUAUUCUUUGUGGAUGGUUUAAUAAAUUCUAGUCGUGGAAUUGACGUUCUUUCCUAACAUUAAGUGCCAUGAAUUCUGAAAUAAGCAAUCAUGUCUAAAAUUUCAACCCCUGUAUACUUUUGACUGUAGAUUUUCUAUCAUAUGUACAAUUAUAUGUCACUUAUUGAAAGAAGAUUUGUGCUUCUAUCUUGGAGGUCGUAACUUUCCCUGAGUUAACGUCAAUAUAUUUCUCAUAAAUUUUCAGACAGAUAGAGCAGCCAUGCUUGACGAAAUUAUGGACUAUGUGAAAUUCCUGAGGCUUCAAGUAAAGGUAUGAGUUGGGCCUCUAUGCUUCUUCGAGCACGGAAUAAUAGACUAAAUCAGGACAGAAGAAUCUUAGCAAUGUUUCCUUAGAAAACUGUUCUAACUUUACUUAGACAUGCCAUUGGUCUACCUUUUUUUAUCUAUAGAAAUCCUGCACUUUCAUCUGUUAGACAUACUUCCUCCGCAGCAAGCAAGCUCCAGUUUACAUCAUACAAUUGAUUUCAUCACUAAAAGAAUUUUCCUCAAGAUGACGGGAUUUCAUCUUCGUUCCUUUUUCUUUCUUUUUUUUUGCUUGGGGGAGGGGGGGCGGGUGUUUGAGCAGUGUUCAGAAGAUCUGGGGUAUGCCUUUUUGGCAAUAGGUCUUCUUUGCUCCUCAUUGUUCAAAGGGAGACAUUAGAGACUCCACUUAUCUCCCGACCACCUCUAAGCAGCCUUGUUGCUUCAGGUUCUCAGCAUGAGCAGACUUGGGGGAGCCAGUGCCGUUGCGCAGCUGGUAGCCGACAUCCCACUGCCAACAGUUGAGGUAACGGAAUGGGUUUUUGGAAUGAAGGCUGAAGGGGUUGUUGAUGGAGGGAUCUCAUGGCCUGUUCUUCUUUGCUCUCCACAUUCAUGGCGAUCAAGGGGGAGGCAGGCGAAGGCGGGAGUGCCCAGCAGGUCUGGGAGAAGUGGUCAAAUGAUGGAACGGAGCAGCAGGUGGCGAAGCUCAUGGAAGAAGAUGUCGGCGCAGCCAUGCAGUUCCUCCAGUCCAAGGCCCUCUGCAUCAUGCCGAUCUCUUUGGCUGCCACCAUCUACCAGACACACCACCAGCACGAGGCCCCCGCGGCCAUCAAGCCAGAGCCCAGCGCCCCUUCAUAGCUCAGUAUCAGCCUGCCUGCACGUGCACAUCGAUGACUCCUAUGUACAGGCCCUCCCCCCAAGCAGAAGACACCUUGGACGGGGUGGCUCCCGGAGACCCAUCCCUUAUGUGCAUCGAUGCCAUUACGCUCUUCUACCUUUUUCCUUUGUCCAGGUGAACAGAAGAAGAAAUUGGCUGACAGAUGUUAUCCCACAGGUCUUCUCACGUUCUUGAGUAAACGUCUGGAUUGUCAAAGGCCUUGCUCGAUCCCCUCUGAUCUACUUUCCUCUUUUUCCCUUUUUCCGUGUGGGUUUCUGACUGUGGGGUUUAUGAUGCACUACCCAAACAAUUCAUGGUGGGGAUGUUCUUUUCUUCCAUAAUGGAUGGUGGGGUCCGUUUCUUAAAGCGGAUGUCCCUGGGUGGGUUAGGUUGCCAUCAUGCGAUUCGGAGGAACGCAGGGGGAAAGCCGGCUCCGGCUGUGGGUGUUGAAUGAUCGAGUCAACACCGUUUCCUGCUCCCGAGGGAGGAAAUCUCGUCCAGAUUGUCUUGCUUCCAAAUCUCCACUGAAUCAAUCGGCGAUCGAUUUCAUUUCAAAUCCGGCGCGUUCAAUGGAAACAGAAAUUCGGCCGCGGCGAUCAGGUGAGAAGGAGGGUUUAUGGAUCCAUACCGGAGGACGACGGCGGAGAGUCCGCCGCCACCGCAGAUUAGGUCAACAAGCGUCGACGCGCUGCCUCGUCUUGCUUUCUUCCUCUGCCACUGGGGAUCUGGCCUCCCUUCACCACCUUCCAUAGAUUUCCAACUCGCGGAGAUCGGGGACGGCGCACCAUGGUGCGAGAGAGGGAGGGGAGGUUCCUCCCUCAGCGCAGCCCCCGUCGCCGGUGGCCUCUGGCAUCCACGGAUUCGCCGUCACCGGCUGCGGCCGGCUUCGACAUCUCGAAGGUUCUGGCUCGAUUGAAGGGGCCGGGCCGCCUUCAGAAACCGUAUUCGCUCGUGGACUUGCUGCAUCCGCGAGAGCGGUCACGUAGCAAAAUGGAAAUGAUCCACAAC
RNAcentral lists this long non-coding RNA (3542 nucleotides) under Spirodela polyrhiza (greater duckweed). RNAcentral's name for it is "long non-coding RNA (SPOL_LNC001255)". The record is from RNAcentral. Lineage: Eukaryota; Viridiplantae; Streptophyta; Magnoliopsida; Alismatales; Araceae.